CAUCAAGUUCACCAAUCAUUUCCUUAAACACCUGUUGUGUGUGAUCUGAUACAUGUAUUCUGCCCUCUAGUGGAUUAUCAUUCCACUGCAAGAAGUGGAAGGGCUUUUUUAUAUUUUCAAAAUGGCUGCUGUCAUUAAAUCCCCCACACAUUUUUGGC
Long non-coding RNA from Etheostoma spectabile (orangethroat darter), 158 nucleotides. RefSeq lists it as uncharacterized. Lineage: Eukaryota; Metazoa; Chordata; Actinopteri; Perciformes; Percidae. The transcript is spliced from 3 exons. The record is from RefSeq and is a predicted model, not a curated record.